This 253-nucleotide ribosomal RNA is filed under the name uncultured bacterium. Its description in RNAcentral is "partial 16S ribosomal RNA". It matches the Rfam family "Bacterial small subunit ribosomal RNA", at positions 524 to 776 of the family's 1533-position model. The record is from RNAcentral.
UACGUAGGGGGCAAGCGUUGUUCGGAAUUACUGGGCGUAAAGGGCGCGUAGGCGGCACAGCAAGUCGGGUGUGAAAUCUCGGGGCUUAACUCCGAAACUGCAUUCGAUACUGCCGUGCUUGAGGACUGGAGAGGAGACUGGAAUUUACGGUGUAGCGGUGAAAUGCGUAGAUAUCGUAAGGAAGACCAGUGGCGAAGGCGGGUCUCUGGACAGUUCCUGACGCUGAGGCACGAAGGACAGGGGAGCAAACGGG